GACGAACCGUCCUAACGUUGUUCGGAAUCACUGGGCUUAAAGGGCGCGUAGGCGGGUCAGCAAGUCCGGGGUGAAAUCUUUCGGCUCAACCGGAAAAGUGCCUUGGAUACUGCUGGUCUAGAGGGAGGUAGGGGCAUGUGGAACUUCCGGUGGAGCGGUGAAAUGCGUUGAUAUCGGAAGGAACGCCGGUGGCGAAAGCGACGUGCUGGAUCUCUUCUGACGCUGAGGCGCGAAAGCCAGGGGAGCAAACGGG
This 253-nucleotide ribosomal RNA is filed under the name uncultured bacterium. RNAcentral's name for it is "partial 16S ribosomal RNA". It matches the Rfam family "Bacterial small subunit ribosomal RNA", at positions 524 to 776 of the family's 1533-position model. The record is from RNAcentral.